GAUGAACGCUGGCGGCGUGCCUAAUACAUGCAAGUCGAGCGAAAAGACGAGGAGCUUGCUCCUGUGACGUUAGCGGCGGACAGGUGAGUAACACGUGGAUAACCAACAUAAAAGACAGGGAUAACUUCGGGAAACCGGAGCGAAUACCGGAUAAUAUAUUGAACCGCAUGGUUCAAUAGUGAAAGACGGUUUUGCUGUUACUGAUAGAGGGUACCGAGCCGCAUUAGAGAGUUGGUAAGGUAACGGCUUACCAAGGCAACGAUGCGUAGCCGACCUGAGAGGUUGAUCGGCCACACUGCAACUGAGACACGGUCCAGACUCCUACGGGAGGCAGCAGUAGGGAAUCUUCCGCAGUGGGCGAAAGCCUGACGGAGCAACGCCGCGUGAGUGAUGAAGGUCUUCGGAUCGUAAGACUCUGUUAUUAGGGAAGAACAACUGUUUAAGUCACUAUGCACGUCUUGACGGUACCUAAUCAGAAAGCCACGGCUAACUACGUG
RNAcentral lists this ribosomal RNA (497 nucleotides) under uncultured bacterium. RNAcentral's name for it is "partial 16S ribosomal RNA". It matches the Rfam family "Bacterial small subunit ribosomal RNA", at positions 28 to 507 of the family's 1533-position model. The record is from RNAcentral.